CUUAGUUGUAUUGUGAGGUAUUUGCUAUGCUAGCAUAGUAUGUAGCUUAGUAAUAUUGUGAGGUAUUUGCUAUGCUAGCAUAGUAUAUAACUUGGUAAUAUUGUGCGGUAUUAGCUGUGCUAAAAGUCCGCAGCGGGUAAGUAUAUGGGGGUUAAAAAUAGAACCAGGGGAAGAACCCUUGUAUGGCUGGACAAAAUUCAAAGAUUCUUGUGUAAUCAGGAUGCAGGACACGUGAC
Non-coding RNA from Pelobates cultripes (western spadefoot toad), 236 nucleotides. The record is from the annotation of a GenBank genome assembly. Lineage: Eukaryota; Metazoa; Chordata; Amphibia; Anura; Pelobatidae.